This is a long non-coding RNA of Planococcus citri (citrus mealybug), 594 nucleotides long. RefSeq lists it as uncharacterized. Lineage: Eukaryota; Metazoa; Arthropoda; Insecta; Hemiptera; Pseudococcidae. The record is from RefSeq and is a predicted model, not a curated record. The transcript has 3 exons.
GGUAAACCACUUUACGCAGCAAUGAAACGCAAACUAGUUAUCAGUGCUCAACCUUGCUUGUUCGUGUGGACCCUAUGUUUCAAGUAAACUCUUGAAUCGUACAUAUGAAUUGGUAUCUGUCCUCUGUAGUUGUUAAUGUACCUAAACACCUAUACUAAGUACGUGUUCGUUUUCGCUUUUAAAUUAGUCGACAGUGAUUAUCUGCAGAUCGUGAAAACUUUUAUUUUCGUUUGGUAGAAGCUGUGCUGUUGAAUGAGUAGACUGACGCCAGUUAUGUGCUGAAUAAGUUCAAAUGUAAGUUCAACAACACCAAGAAUUAGAAAUGACCGAAGUCACGUCAUCGUCACAAGUGUACGAUAUUUUCCAUCCCACUCCAGUAUCGCUGCAACAACUAUCUGCAAUCGCCGUGAGCCUGGAAAUAUGGCGACGUAGACUGAAUGAAUACCGCACAGGUAGAAAAUUGCAAAAAUUAUAUGACUCAUGGCUAUGGAUUGUGCCAAAUACCUGUAGUCCAGUAGAAUUAGCAGAAAAAACAGGGCCUAUAUGGAAAGACUUCCGGGCAAGCUGAAUUUUGGAAUAUAGGGGUAUUUUGAU